UGCUUGUCUCAAAGAUUAAGCCAUGCAUGUCUAAGUACAAACUUUCACACAGUGAAACCGCGAAUGGCUCAUUAAAUCGGUUACUCUUUAUUGGAUCGUUGUCCUACUUGGAUAACUGUAGUAAUUCUAGAGCUAAUACAUGCAACACAGCUCCGACCGCGCGAGCGGGAAGAGCGCUUUUAUUAGAUCAAAACCAAUCCUGCUUCGCGGCAGGUGCUCGUUGGUGACUCUGGAUAACUUUGGGCUGAUCGCAUGGCCAUGCGCCGGCGACGUAUCUUUCAAAUGUCCGCCCUAUCAACUUUCGAUGGUACGUGCUAUGCCUACCAUGGUUGUAACGGGUAGCGGGGAAUCAGGGUUCGAUUCCGGAGAAGGGGCCUGAGAAACGGCCACUACAUCCAAGGAAGGCAGCAGGCGCGCAAAUUACCCACUCCCGGCACGGGGAGGUAGUGACGAAAAAUAACAAUACGGGCUCUCUUUCGAGGCUCCGUAAUUGGAAUGAGUACACUUUAAAUCCUUUAACGAGGAUCGACUGGAGGGCAAGUCUGGUGCCAGCAGCCGCGGUAAUUCCAGCUCCAGCAGCGUAUAUUAAAGUUGUUGCAGUUAAAAAGCUCGUAGUUGGAUCUGGGGCUCGGGCGGGCGGUUCACCUCACGGUGUCACUGCUCGUCCCGACCUUUACCUGCCGGUUUUCCCCCGAUGCUCUUUAUCGAGUGUCUCGGGUGGCCGGAACGUUUACUUUGAAAAAAUUGGAGUGUUCAAAGCAGGCAAGUUCGCCUGUACAAUGUUGCAUGGAAUGAUGGAAUAGGACCUCGGUUCUAUUUUGUUGGUUUUCGGAAGCCGAGGUAAUGAUUGAGAGGGACAGACGGGGGCAUUCGUAUUACGGCGUUAGAGGUGAAAUUCUUGGAUCGCCGUAAGACGGACUACUGCGAAAGCAUUUGCCAAGAAUGUU
RNAcentral lists this ribosomal RNA (947 nucleotides) under Siboglinum sp. 2 SL1. RNAcentral describes it as "SSU rRNA". It matches the Rfam family "Eukaryotic small subunit ribosomal RNA", at positions 29 to 968 of the family's 1831-position model. Lineage: Eukaryota; Metazoa; Annelida; Polychaeta; Sabellida; Siboglinidae. The record is from RNAcentral.